Non-coding RNA from Vicia faba (fava bean), 231 nucleotides. NCBI's taxonomy places the organism in Eukaryota, Viridiplantae, Streptophyta, Magnoliopsida, Fabales, Fabaceae. The record is from the annotation of a GenBank genome assembly.
AUGAGAGCCCUCCGUUUCGCACAGAACAAUAACGUCACCAAAGAUCCACCGUCGAAACUGCCACGAUCCGACUGUCUCCACUUUAAAUCCGGAGACAAGCGCAACCGUCUCUUUGCAAUUAUCAUGAUUCUGCUCAGAUUUGCAAAGUCAUUCUCCAUUAGCAUCCUCCGGUUUGUUUUCCAUUCUUCUUUUUAUUCAUGUGGUUUGAUUAAGACAUGUUUGAUUAAAUGA